RNAcentral lists this ribosomal RNA (465 nucleotides) under uncultured bacterium. Its description in RNAcentral is "bacterial SSU rRNA". It matches the Rfam family "Bacterial small subunit ribosomal RNA", at positions 337 to 793 of the family's 1533-position model. The record is from RNAcentral.
GCCUACGGGGCGCAGCAGUGGGGAAUUUUGCGCAAUGGGGGAAACCCUGACGCAGCAACGCCGCGUGAGUGAUGAAGGCUUUCGAGUCGUAAAGCUCUGUCAAGUGAGAAGAACCUAAAAUAUGCUAACAUCAUAUUUUACUGACGGUAUCACUGAAGGAAGCACCGGCUAACUCCGUGCCAGCAGCCGCGGUAAUACGGAGGGUGCAAGCGUUAUUCGGAAUUAUUGGGCGUAAAGGGCGCGUAGGCGGCUUCUUAAGUCAGAUGUGAAAGCCCGGGGCUUAACCCCGGAAGUGCAUUUGAAACUAAGUGGCUUGAGUAUGGGAGAGGGAAGUGGAAUUCCUGGUGUAGAGGUGAAAUUCGUAGAUAUCAGGAGGAACACCGGUGGCGAAGGCGACUUCCUGGACCAAUACUGACGCUGAGGCGCGAAGGCGUGGGGAGCAAACAGGAUUAGAUACCCUCGUAU